AAGUCGUAACAAGGUUUCCGUAGGUGAACCUGCGGAAGGAUCAUUAGUGAAUUUUAGGGUGCCCUCUCGCCUCUCCUUUAACUGGGUUGGCGUUAGAGGGGCCUGACCUCCACUUUCUACCCUGUGCACUAUUUCUAAAGGUUCAGUCGAAGGGUUAACGCCUUUCUUCUGACCUUUUCAAUUCAUAAACACGAGUUAAAGAAUGUAUUAAAAAUCAUAACAAAAAAAACUUUCAACAACGGAUCUCUUGGCUCUC
This 256-nucleotide unclassified non-coding RNA is filed under the name Chrysozyma griseoflava. RNAcentral describes it as "partial internal transcribed spacer region". The stretch from base 1 to 46 matches the Rfam family "Eukaryotic small subunit ribosomal RNA", at positions 1786 to 1831 of the family's 1831-position model. Lineage: Eukaryota; Fungi; Basidiomycota; Microbotryomycetes; Chrysozymaceae. The record is from RNAcentral.